UCUCAUGGCCUUAUGGGUAGGGCUUCACACGUCAUACAAUGGUCGGAACAGAGGGUUGCCAACCCGCGAGGGGGAAGCUAAUCCCAGAAAACCGAUCGUAGUCCGGAUUGCACUCUGCAACUCGAGUGCAUGAAGCUGGAAUCGCUAGUAAUCGCGGAUCAGCAUGCCGCGGUGAAUACGUU
This 182-nucleotide ribosomal RNA is filed under the name Burkholderia cenocepacia. RNAcentral describes it as "partial 16S ribosomal RNA". It matches the Rfam family "Bacterial small subunit ribosomal RNA", at positions 1191 to 1372 of the family's 1533-position model. The record is from RNAcentral. Lineage: Bacteria; Pseudomonadati; Pseudomonadota; Betaproteobacteria; Burkholderiales; Burkholderiaceae.